Molecule: ribosomal RNA, 460 nt
Filed under: uncultured bacterium
Lineage: Bacteria
Description: partial 16S ribosomal RNA
Rfam family: Bacterial small subunit ribosomal RNA
Source: RNAcentral
CCUACGGGAGGCAGCAGUGAGGAAUAUUGGUCAAUGGGCGCGAGCCUGAUCCAGCCAAGUAGCGUGAAGGAUGACUGCCCUACGGGUUGUAACCUUCUUUUAUAAAGGCAUAAAGUGAGGCACGUGUGCCUUUUUGUAUGUCCUUUAUGAAUACGGCUCGGCUAACUCCGUGCCAGCAGCCGCGGUAAUACGGAGGAACCGAGCGUUAUCCGGAUGUAUUGGGUUUAAAGGGAGCGGAGAUGGGUUGUUAAGUUAGGUGUGAAAGGUUGCGGCUCAACCGUAAAAUUGCAAUUGAUACUGGCAGUCUUGAGUACAGUUGAGGUAGGCGGAAUUCGUGGUGUAGCGGUGAAAUGCUUAGAUAUCACGAAGAACUCCGAUUGCGAAGGCAGCUUACUAAACUGCCACUGACAUUGAUGCUCGAAAGUGUGGGGAGCAAACAGGAUUAGAUACCCCAGUAGUC